RNAcentral lists this transfer RNA (92 nucleotides) under Opitutaceae bacterium. RNAcentral's name for it is "tRNA-Ser". It matches the Rfam family "tRNA". Rfam says of the family: Transfer RNA (tRNA) molecules are approximately 80 nucleotides in length. The record is from RNAcentral. Lineage: Bacteria; Pseudomonadati; Verrucomicrobiota; Opitutia; Opitutales; Opitutaceae.
GGAGAGGUGGCUGAGUGGCCGAAAGCGGCGCUUUGCUAAAGCGUUGAAGGUGUAAAAGCCUUCCGGGGGUUCGAAUCCCCCCCUCUCCGCCA